Molecule: transfer RNA, 65 nt
Filed under: Heterololigo bleekeri (Bleeker's squid)
Lineage: Eukaryota; Metazoa; Mollusca; Cephalopoda; Myopsida; Loliginidae
Description: tRNA-Asp
Source: RNAcentral
AAAAAGUUAGUUAAAUUAUAACAUAAAAUUGUCAAUUUUAUAUUACUAUACCAUAGUACUUUUUA